AAGCGGAGGAAAAGAAACUAACAAGGAUUCCCCUAGUAACGGCGAGUGAAGCGGGAACAGCUCAAAUUUUAAAUCUGGCUGCUUCGCAGUCCGAGUUGUAAUUUGAAGGCGUCUGUCGCAUGUGAGACGAUGGCACAAGUCCUCUGGAACGUGGCAUCGUAGAGGGUGAGAAUCCCGUCUCUGGUCGUUGUCUUGCAGGCACACGGCAGGCGAUCCGAAGAGUCGAGUUGUUUGGGAUUGCAGCUCCAAAUGGGUGGUAAACUCCAUCUAAGGCUAAAUAUUGGCGAGAGACCGAUAGCGAACAAGUACCGUGAGGGAAAGAUGAAAAGAACUUUGAAAAGAGAGUAAAACAGUACGUGAAAUUGUUGAAAGGGAAACGCUUGAAGUCAGUCGUGCCGGCGGGGAUUCAGCGAACUUCGCGGAGUGAGCGUAUUUCCUCGCAUGGCAGGUCAGCGUCAGUUUUGCGCGUCGUGAAAGGGCUCGGGUAAGGUGACUCUCUUCGGGGAGUGUUAUAGGCCUGAGCAGAUGCGAUGCGCGGGACUGAGGAUUGCAGCGGACACCCUUCGGGGCGCGGCGACCGAUCCCUGCUCUGUCACCUUCGUCCGAUAGCGUGCUAACGGUCGGGGGAGCGGCGGUUGCACCGGGUUGGCAAGCCGGCGGCUNCGCUAAGGAUGCUGGCGUAAUGGCUUUAAACGACC
RNAcentral lists this ribosomal RNA (698 nucleotides) under Glomeromycotina sp. OTU25 DJMC-2012. RNAcentral's name for it is "eukaryotic LSU rRNA". It matches the Rfam family "Eukaryotic large subunit ribosomal RNA", at positions 48 to 649 of the family's 3401-position model. Lineage: Eukaryota; Fungi; Glomeromycota. The record is from RNAcentral.